This 254-nucleotide ribosomal RNA is filed under the name uncultured bacterium. RNAcentral's name for it is "partial 16S ribosomal RNA". It matches the Rfam family "Bacterial small subunit ribosomal RNA", at positions 524 to 776 of the family's 1533-position model. The record is from RNAcentral.
UACGGGGGGGGCAAGCGUUGUCCGGAUUUAUUGGGCGUAAAGAGCUCGUAGGCGGUUCGGUAAGUCGGAUGUGAAAUCUCCAGGCUCAACCUGGAGGGGUCAUUCGAUACUGCCGUGACUAGAGUUCGGUAGGGGAGUGUGGAAUUCCUGGUGGAGCGGUGAAAUGCGUAGAUAUCUGGAGGAACACCGGUGGCGAAGGCGACAUCCUGGACCGGUAUUGACGCUGAGGCGCGAAAGCCAGGGGAGCAAACGGG